CCCAUGUCUGCGUGAUGAGAUAAAUGUUGGUAGGGACAUCUGAUUGUCAGAGUGAAGAAAUGCCAACAGCUCUGACCGCAUGGG
RNAcentral lists this small nucleolar RNA (84 nucleotides) under Mastacembelus armatus (zig-zag eel). RNAcentral's name for it is "Small nucleolar RNA SNORD74 (ENSMAMG00000003673.2)". It matches the Rfam family "Small nucleolar RNA SNORD74". From Rfam's summary of the family: Z18 also identified as U74 (SNORD74) belongs to the C/D class of snoRNA which contain the C (UGAUGA) and D (CUGA) box motifs. Most of the members of the box C/D family function in directing site-specific 2'-O-methylation of substrate RNAs. Lineage: Eukaryota; Metazoa; Chordata; Actinopteri; Synbranchiformes; Mastacembelidae. The record is from Rfam by way of RNAcentral.